RNAcentral lists this ribosomal RNA (230 nucleotides) under uncultured bacterium. RNAcentral's name for it is "partial 16S ribosomal RNA". It matches the Rfam family "Bacterial small subunit ribosomal RNA", at positions 338 to 564 of the family's 1533-position model. The record is from RNAcentral.
CCUACGGGAGGCAGCAGUGAGGAAUAUUGGUCAAUGGCCGAGAGGCUGAACCAGCCAAGUCGCGUGAGGGAAGACGGCCCUACGGGUUGUAAACUUCUUUUGUCAGGGAGCAAUUGGGUCCACGCGUGGGCUUAGCGAGAGUACCUGAAGAAAAAGCAUCGGCUAACUCCGUGCCAGCAGCCGCGGUAAUACGGAGGAUGCGAGCGUUCUCCGGAUUUAUUGGGUUUAAA